Pelobates cultripes (western spadefoot toad) is the source of this 231-nucleotide non-coding RNA. NCBI's taxonomy places the organism in Eukaryota, Metazoa, Chordata, Amphibia, Anura, Pelobatidae. The record is from the annotation of a GenBank genome assembly.
GAAAUACUCUGGGUUGCCUACUUUUGAAAAUGGUAUGCCAUGAUAGUGGAAAUGUUAUUACCCAGGCUGCCAUGCUCUCUCAAAGGCAAGAUAGGCCCAGAAAAUCGCUUUGCCAAUUUUCAAUGUGUAAAACAAAAAUGGACAAGCGUAUAUUUGACCCUGUAACUUUCCAAAACCCCAUAAAACCAAUACAUGGUGGGACAGAACUAGGAGUGUUUCAGGGCAGUAAAC